UGGCUCUCGCAUCGAUGAAGAACGCAGCGAAAUGCGAUAAGUAAUGUGAAUUGCAGAAUUCAGUGAAUCAUCGAAUCUUUGAACGCACCUUGCGCCCUUUGGUAUUCCGAUGGGCAUGCCUGUUUGAGUGUCUUGAAAUCAUCAAACCCCCCCGGUUUCGCGAUCGCGGGGCUUGGACUUGGGGGCUCUGCUGCCGCGAGGCGGCUCCCCUUAAAUGCAUCGGUCGGGCCUACUGGGGCUCCGUCACCUGGGCGUUGUAUUACCCUCGCUCUCCCGACGCGCCUCGGCUUUGCGUGCCCGACACCGACCUGCCUCUGGAGCGGCGGUCAACACUCUUUGAGAUCUGACCUCAAAUCAGGUAGGACUACCCGCUGA
RNAcentral lists this unclassified non-coding RNA (375 nucleotides) under uncultured fungus. RNAcentral's name for it is "partial contains 5.8S ribosomal RNA and internal transcribed spacer 2". The stretch from base 1 to 133 matches the Rfam family "5.8S ribosomal RNA", at positions 22 to 154 of the family's 154-position model. The record is from RNAcentral. Lineage: Eukaryota; Fungi.